RNAcentral lists this ribosomal RNA (214 nucleotides) under uncultured bacterium. Its description in RNAcentral is "partial 16S ribosomal RNA". It matches the Rfam family "Bacterial small subunit ribosomal RNA", at positions 30 to 240 of the family's 1533-position model. The record is from RNAcentral.
AUUGAACGCUGGCGGCGUGCUUAACACAUGCAAGUCGUGCGGUAACAGGCGUAGCAAUACGUGCUGACGAGCGGCGAACGGGUGCGUAAUACAUGGGAAUCUGCCUUUUAGUGGGGAAUAACCCGGCGAAAGCCGGGCUAAUGCCGCAUAAGAUCUUCGGAUGAAAGCGGGGGAGUCGUAAGACCUCGCGCUGAUAGAUGAGCCCACUGCCGGA